Molecule: ribosomal RNA, 603 nt
Filed under: uncultured bacterium
Lineage: Bacteria
Description: bacterial SSU rRNA
Rfam family: Bacterial small subunit ribosomal RNA
Source: RNAcentral
ACAUGCAAGUCGUACGCGAACGAACUUUCGGGGUUAAGUAGAGUGGCGAACGGGUUAGUAACGCGUGGGAACAUACACAGCACAGGGGGAUAACCAUUGGAAACGAUGGCUAAUACCGCAUACGCCCUAUUGGGGAAAGAUUUAUCGGUGUUGGAUUGGCCCGCGUUAGAUUAGCUAGUUGGUGGGGUAAUGGCUCACCAAGGCGACGAUUUAUAGCUGGUUUGAGAGGAUGAUCAGCAACACUGGAACUGAGACACGGUCCAGACUCCUACGGGAGGCAGCAGUCGGGAAUAUUGUGCAAUGGGGGCAACCCUGACACAGCCAUGCCGCGUGAGUGAAGAAGGCCUUAGGGUUGUAAAGCUCUUUCAGAUGUGAGGAUGAUGACGAUAGCAUCAGAAGAAGCUCCGGCUAACUUCGUGCCAGCAGCCGCGGUAAUACGAAGGGAGCUAGCGUUGUUCGGAAUUACUGGGCGUAAAGGGCGUGUAGGCGGAUUAUCAAGUUAGGGGUGAAAUCCCGGGGCUCAACCUCGGCACUGCCUUUAAGACUGAUAAUCUAGAGUAUGUGAGGGGAUAAUGGAAUACCUAGUGUAGAGGUGAAAUUCGU